UCCUACGGGGCGCAGCAGUGGGGAAUAUUGGGCAAUGGGCGCAAGCCUGACCCAGCAACGCCGCGUGAAGGAAGAAGGCUUUCGGGUUGUAAACUUCUUUUAAGAGGGAAGAGAAGAAGACGGUACCUCUUGAAUAAGCCACGGCUAACUACGUGCCAGCAGCCGCGGUAAUACGUAGGUGGCAAGCGUUGUCCGGAUUUACUGGGUGUAAAGGGCGUGCAGCCGGGCUGACAAGUCAGAUGUGAAAUCCCGCGGCUCAACCGUAAAAUUGCAAUUGAUACUGGCAGUCUUGAGUACAGUU
RNAcentral lists this ribosomal RNA (301 nucleotides) under uncultured bacterium. RNAcentral's name for it is "bacterial SSU rRNA". It matches the Rfam family "Bacterial small subunit ribosomal RNA", at positions 337 to 653 of the family's 1533-position model. The record is from RNAcentral.